RNAcentral lists this long non-coding RNA (611 nucleotides) under Mus caroli (Ryukyu mouse). RNAcentral describes it as "lncRNA (MGP_CAROLIEiJ_G0005246.1)". The record is from RNAcentral. Lineage: Eukaryota; Metazoa; Chordata; Mammalia; Rodentia; Muridae.
ACAUGACUGUUGGCCAGAGAAUUUUGGAGCUGGAGCCUUGUGUCAGGAGCCUAGGGUCUGGGAGUAUGGCAAACCAACCUUCCGACUGGUGCAGAUUAAUCUGAGUCUCUGAAUCUGUAAGACGAUGCAGGCAAGCUUAUGUGAAAUUUUCAUUUCAAGCAAUAGCUCAAAAAAUGGACGAGCCAAGCUCUCUACAGAUUGUUCAGGUUGUAAUGCAAAUAGGCCUUCCAAUGCAGCAUGUACUAAGAAAACACUAAAGACUGCUCAAAGAAACAAUUCCUGGUCUACACUGUCACUUGAACAUUGAAAUGGAAAACUGAUUAGAACAUACUACAUUGUUAAAAUCAUCAUGCAAAGGCAACAUUGUCAAGGCCUUUUGGAGGGCGCAUCAGGUCACUUCUUGAAAAAUAAGAGAAGAUGGAAUCCUGCUUUUCCUUUCAGGGUAAAUAAUAGUCUCCAUGAAAGAAAAACAUCUCAAUGAAGAACUCUAGACAGGACGCUGGGCAGAAUGAACUCCACUGGUUUGCCAUUAUGAUGAAUUUAAGUAUACAGCCACCCAUCCCAUGAAAGCCAAAAAAACAGGUGAAGAUAAAUAAACAGUUGUUCCAGUU